Molecule: ribosomal RNA, 415 nt
Filed under: uncultured bacterium
Lineage: Bacteria
Description: bacterial SSU rRNA
Rfam family: Bacterial small subunit ribosomal RNA
Source: RNAcentral
UGGGGAAUCUUGCACAAUGGGCGAAAGCCUGAUGCAGCCAUGCCGCGUGAAUGAUGAAGGCCUUAGGGUUGUAAAAUUCUUUCGCCAGGGAUGAUAAUGACAGUACCUGGUAAAGAAGCCCCGGCUAACUUCGUGCCAGCAGCCGCGGUAAUACGAAGGGGGCUAGCGUUGUUCGGAAUUACUGGGCGUAAAGCGCACGUAGGCGGACUUUUAAGUCAGAUGUGAAAUCCCGGGGCUCAACCUCGGAACUGCAUUUGAAACUGGAAGUCUAGAGACCAGGAGAGGUUAGCGGAAUACCGAGUGUAGAGGUGAAAUUCGUAGAUAUUCGGUGGAACACCAGUGGCGAAGGCGGCUAACUGGACUGGUACUGACGCUGAGGUGCGAAAGUGUGGGGAGCAAACAGGAUUAGAUACCC